CAGAGUGGAGAGUCAUACAUGCCAUUCCUGGGACCAUCAAAAAUGGCAGAGGUCACACAAAAGGCAAAACUUUUAAGAGGUGUUUUAAACGUCGUAUGGGCCAAAGAGAAGCUGGAUUUCCUAUUGGAGUCAGCUGUAACACACGUGUGAUGAAAUUGGCCUGUGAGGACAAGGCAGUGAGCAGAGAGGACAGCAGUCCUUAUGAGAUCAAGCUCUAAGGUAUCCUAGAUACAUUUGGAGAAUUCACCUGAGCUACAGGAUGUGUCUUGCUCUGUCACCCAGGCCUGGAGUGCAGUGGAGCAAUCUCAGCUCACUGCAGCCUCCGCCUCCCGGAUUCAAGUGAUUCUUCUGCUUCAGACUCUCGAGUAGCUGGGAUUACAGUUUUGAGAAGAAUGCGAAGAAGAAAGGAAGAGUGAGCCUCUCUUUCCCAUCGUUACCCUCCAUUGUCCUCUUGACACCCUGCUUUCACAGAGAAAGAGUUUGAGACCCUCUCCCAGGAGCCAAGGAGAGGGGAACAGCUGGCUUCACAUCAUCUUUCUAUUCAACAAGAUACAAAAAGCUGAAGCCAGGAUGAUAGAAAAGCAACAAAGAAGACACGGUCCUUACUCAUUUCCCUUCCCGCUUCAGAGCAAAUAUGGUGCCUAGUGUUUGAAGGGAGAACUUGUGGGCAGAGCAGGAAGC
Molecule: long non-coding RNA, 681 nt
Filed under: Pan troglodytes (chimpanzee)
Lineage: Eukaryota; Metazoa; Chordata; Mammalia; Primates; Hominidae
Description: lincRNA
Source: RNAcentral